GAUGAACGCUAGCGGCAGGCUUAAUACAUGCAAGUCGAGGGGCAUCAAGGUACACGAAAGUGUAUUGUUGGCGACCGGCGGACGGGUGAGUAAUAGGUAGGUAACCUACCUCAUACUGAGGCAUAGCUGGGAGAAAUUCCAGGUAAUUCCUCAUGAGGUUAUAUGACACAUGUGAUAUAAUCAAAGGUAUCGCAAGGUACUGGUAUGAGAUGGGCUUACUGACCAUUAGCUAGUUGGUGAGAUAAGAGCUCACCAAGGCGAAGAUGGUUAGGGGUUUUGAGAGAGAGAUCCCCCACAUUGGAACUGAGAUACGGUCCAGACUCCUACGGGAGGCAGCAGUAGGGAAUAUUGGACAAUGGGCGCAAGCCUGAUCCAGCCAUGCCGCGUGAGUGAAGAAGGCCCUCGGGUUGUAAAGCUCUUUUGUCCGGAAAGAAAAGCGCCGGGUUAAUACCCUAGUGUCCUGACGGUACCGGAAAAUAAGCACCGGCUAACUUCGU
RNAcentral lists this ribosomal RNA (497 nucleotides) under uncultured bacterium. RNAcentral describes it as "bacterial SSU rRNA". It matches the Rfam family "Bacterial small subunit ribosomal RNA", at positions 28 to 506 of the family's 1533-position model. The record is from RNAcentral.